AACGAACGCUGGCGGCAUGCCUAACACAUGCAAGUCGAACGAGACCUUCGGGCUUAGUGGCGCACGGGUGCGUAACGCGGUGGAACCUGCCCUUAGAUUUGGAAUAACUUCCCGAAAGGGGUGCUAAUACCGGAUAAUGUCCUCGGUCCAAAGGUUUAUCGCGUUUGGAUGGGCUGGGGUGGGAUUGGUUGGUUGUUAGGGUAAAAGCCUAUCAAGGCGAGGAUCCAUAGCUGGUUUGUGAGGAUGAGCAGCCACACUGGGGCGGAGACACGGUCGAGAAUCCUACGGGAGGCGGCAGUGGGGAAUAUAGGACAGUGGGGUGUGGCAUGAUCCAGCUAUGCCGGGUAAGUGAUGUAGGCCUGGGGGUUGUAAAGCACUUUUACACGGGGUGAUAAUGACGGUACCGGGAGAAUAAGCUCCGGCUAACUCCGUG
RNAcentral lists this ribosomal RNA (433 nucleotides) under uncultured bacterium. Its description in RNAcentral is "partial 16S ribosomal RNA". It matches the Rfam family "Bacterial small subunit ribosomal RNA", at positions 29 to 507 of the family's 1533-position model. The record is from RNAcentral.